UACCAGCACCCCGAGUGGUCGGGACGUUUAUUGGGCCUAAAGCAUCCGUAGCCGGUUCUACAAGUCUUCCGUUAAAUCCACCUGCUUAACAGAUGGGCUGCGGAAGAUACUAUGGAGCUAGGAGGCGGGAGAGGCAAGCGGUACUCGAUGGGUAGGGAUAAAAUCCGUUGAUCCAUUGAAGACCACCAGUGGCGAAGGCGGCUUGCCAGAACGCGCUCGACGGUGAGGGAUGAAAGCUGGGGGAGCAAACCGG
This 253-nucleotide ribosomal RNA is filed under the name uncultured bacterium. Its description in RNAcentral is "partial 16S ribosomal RNA". It matches the Rfam family "Archaeal small subunit ribosomal RNA", at positions 474 to 727 of the family's 1478-position model. The record is from RNAcentral.